This 1205-nucleotide long non-coding RNA is filed under the name Vigna radiata. RNAcentral's name for it is "long non-coding RNA (VRAD_LNC001483)". The record is from RNAcentral. Lineage: Eukaryota; Viridiplantae; Streptophyta; Magnoliopsida; Fabales; Fabaceae.
GCAAUGUGUAUCGGGUUUCAGUAGACAAAAAUACCCCUAUAUAUCAUGAAUUCUAAGUUUUAAGGUUAAGAGUAUUUUAAUAAUUUUCAUUCUCAAAAUUAAAAAAAUAAAAAAAGAAACCCCCAAACCCUUACCCAUCUCUCUCAUUCUUCUCAACCAUUUCUCUUUCAUCUCUUUCACUCCAACCUUUUCUUUUCUCUGUCAUCCCUACUCUCUCCAAUUGAAAAAAAUCAGAAACACUUGCCUUAUUUUAAUAAUUUUCAUUUUCAAAACUAAAAAAGAAAAACCCCAAACCUUUACUCACCUCCUUCAUUCCUCUCAACCCUUUCUCCUUCAUCUCUCUCACUCAAACAUUUUCUCUGUCAUCUUUGCACUAGCUCCAACUAAAAAAACAUUCAUCAUUAAACGAUUUACUUUUGUAAAGAGUUGAGUCAUAUUCACCUUUCGAAAAAAGUUCAUUCAAAAUCUCUUUAAUUUCAUUAUCUUCACUAUAUAUAUUACAGUCGACAGGCACAACUUGCACCAAGACUUAUGAGUAUCCUUCCUUUACAUUCCUUUACAUUCUGAGACUACUACGUAACAUUGUUCCGUGACCAUUUAAUUUUUUUGGUAGAAAUUCAUUAACUUGUUUUCCUUUACUAAAGAAAAAAACAAAUCAAAAUACAAUAAAAUACUCAAUUAUAAAAUCAAACAACAAUAAAAAUUCUAAAUCUUGAAAUUUUAUUUAUAAUUAUAUAAAGAAAAAAUUAGGUGCUUUAAUUUUUUUAUUUAUGUAAGUAUUUUUUUUCUCUAACCAUUUUAUUUAAUAAUGAGUGUUUUUUUAGUUAAAGGUAGUGCAGAGAUGACAGAGGAAAUGUGUUGAGUGAGAGAGAUGAAAGAGAAAUGGUUGAGAGGAAUGAAGGAGGUGAGUAAGGGUUUGGGUUUUUUUUUUUUUUAAUUUUGAGAAUGAAAAUUAUUAAAAUAAAAGUGUUUUUGAUUUUUUUCAAUUAGAGAAAAUGUUGGAGUGAAAGAGAUGAAAGAGAAAGGUUGAGAGGAAUACGAGAGGUGGAUAAGGGAUUGGGGGUUUCUUUUUUUAUUUUUUUAAUUUUGAGAAUGAAAAUUAUUAAAAUACCCUUAACUUUAAAACUUAGAAUUCAUGAUAUAAGGGUAUUUUUGUCUACUGAAACCCGGUACACAUUACUAAAAUGUACCAACUGAAAAACAGG